UAUCUUGUAAUAUUAGAAAGGCUCGCUAAUCCAUCAGUUUCAAUGGAAAAAUGUUUGCGAUAGGGAACGCAAUUUCUUUAUUUGCUAAAUCUGGGUAGCAGGUACAUAGGUUUCCUCUACGGUUAAGAUUUUCUACAAUGACAUUUUUAAUUUAAUCAAUUAAUUAAUUAAUUUUUAUAAUUUUUUAAGGGCGGGAGGCCGGGGGGCGGAACAAUAGGGGCAGGCGUGAAGGCCGGGGCCCCGCGGGCGCGCAGAGGAGGAAGGGUGGGUGGAGGAGGAGGAGGGAGAAGGCGGAAAUAGACUCCGGGCGGGUGGAGGGCGGCGGAGGGCUAGUUGGCCGGCAGCGGGGAGAGGGCGCUGGCUGCGACUGCCAUGGCUCCGGCUGCUGCCUCUGCUUGUCUUAAAAUGAUAUCCUAAACAAUGAGUUUUUUAAAAUUCAUGAGCCAUCAUACUGAGGAAAUGCAGUAAUCUCUUGACUGAUUAAGUUGUGGCAGCAGAGGAAGAAGGUGUCUAAGGUCUCCUGACUGGAGAGCACUUCCACUAGAAAUCCUAUGCCCUGAACCCUACUUCCUCUUUGGAGAAGCACCAAGAUGCUCUUGGAAACCUUUCAAAACAACUCCAGGCUUAUUGAGCACUCUUUAAAAGUGUGAGAUACAGCCCUAGAAGGAAGGUUGGAUUUCAAGACUGUUCUUCCAGGAGAGUGAAAGGUCGAUCUAAGAGUGAAGAAAUAACAAAAGUUAUUCUCAUCCUCCUUCAGUUCUUCUUCACUCUGACCUCCUCGUUCCUAAUGGGGGUUUGUGGUGUUGGCGACAUGGCAUUCAUGCAGGUGCCACUAGUGAAGCUGGGGAGUGUUGGGACAAGGUCAAGGCCGCACGAUCCAUACAUAUCAUGAUUGAGAUUGGGUCCUAGGAACUGAAGGCCCCGUGACUCUGAUCUCAUCUCUAUAUGUCCUUAAGGGAACCAUAACAAAGUACAUAUUAAAGGACAAAAAUUUGCCCUCUUUGAAGAUAUUAAAAAUAAUUUAUUGAGGCCAACUAGUAAAAAUAAGUCCAGGUCAAGAACUGCCUCGUUGGAGUAGGUGCCUAGUUACUGACAGUUAAAGAUAAAACUCAUUAGAAGAUGUAAAGCUUGAUAUAUUUUUGAAGGAAAGAAUUAUGUGACUUUAUGUGUGCAUUUCUUAUAGUUCUAGGUUGGUCUCACACACAAGUCAGUGCUAGAAAUAUUUUUUUCCAGUGAUGAUGAUAUGAUGAUAAGGCAAGUGAAAAUAACAAAGAAAAAUAGCUUCUCUUUGUUUGUUAUAAACUAACAAACAUGGCUUGUUGGAUGACAUGAAACAAAAACAUUGGCAGAGAAUUAAUCUUUCUUUCCAUUUAUGUUUGUGGAUGAGAAAACACUAGAAAUUUGAAGAGCGAAGCUGAAUUACAUGUGAUCCAAAAUACACAAUAUUUUAAUGACUGGGACUUCUUUGCAAAAGCUUAUCGCUGCAGUAAUUUAAUUUAUUGUAAAGAAGAUA
Molecule: long non-coding RNA, 1513 nt
Filed under: Papio anubis (olive baboon)
Lineage: Eukaryota; Metazoa; Chordata; Mammalia; Primates; Cercopithecidae
Description: lncRNA (ENSPANG00000043450.1)
Source: RNAcentral